This 253-nucleotide ribosomal RNA is filed under the name uncultured bacterium. RNAcentral's name for it is "partial 16S ribosomal RNA". It matches the Rfam family "Bacterial small subunit ribosomal RNA", at positions 524 to 776 of the family's 1533-position model. The record is from RNAcentral.
UACGUAGGGGGCGAGCGUUGCCCGAAUUUACUGGGCGUAAAGCGCACGUAGGCGGCUCCGUAAGUCUGGUGUGAAAUCUCACGGCUCAACCGGGAGGCUGCACCAGAUACUGCGGGGCUCGAGGACGGGAUAGGAGAUUGGAAUUCCCGGUGUAGCGGUGAAAUGCAUUGAUAUCGGGAGGAACACCAGUGGCGAAGGCGGAUCUCUGGUCCGUUGCUAACGCUGAGGUGCGAAAGCUGGGGGAGCGAAAGGG